GCUGGCCGCCUGGGUUACGGCUCAAAUAGUGCAUCUUUACAAAAGCCUCCCAGCCGGGAUGGAGGUUCUGCAUCUCCUAAGCGGCGAUAUAACCCAAAAUGUUGACUCAGGAGUUUGGGGUCAACUGUCCCACGUCUAAGCCAUAUAUUUGAAGAAUGACCUUUAUUGCGUCAUGGAGAGGGAAGCGGAGGCCGGCUAAGAAUGCCGGCUCAUAAUAGCCAAAGUAGUCAUUGGCGUUCUGCUGGUCAUCUUCCCACGCUAUGGUGCCCAGCUCAGGCGGCUCCUGGAUGGCAUAGUUCCCCCCAAGGGGACGUUUCUUCUUGAAAUUUUCGAGGCUCGCUUGCAUGUUUGCCCUAUCCCUGGCUCACACAUGAAUUUGAAACGGGUCCAUCUUGUUUGAUUGCUGCUUCUCCACGGAUGUGUUGAAUGAAGAUGAGUACACAGAAUACCUUGGUGGUAUUGUAACACAGCUACAGGACUACUACCCAGAUGCCUCAUUCAUGGUGUUUAACUUUAGAGAAGGGGAUCGAAGGAGUCAUAUUACUGAUAUAUUGUCUGAUUAUGAUAUGACGGUUAUGAAAUAUCCUCGUCAAUAUGAGAAAUGUCCUUUACUUCCCCUGGAAAUGGUUUACCACUUCCUGCGCUCCAGUGAGAGCUGGCUGUCGUUGGAGGGACAGCAAAAUGUAUUGCUGAUGCACUGUGAAAGAGGUGGCUGGCCUGUCCUUGCUUUUAUUCUUGCAGGUCUUCUUUUAUACAGAAAGAACUAUUCCGGCGAGCAAAAAACACUUGAAAUGGUUUCUCAAGCAGGCCUCGAGGGAACUACUUCAGCUUUUGUCUCCUUUAAAUUCACAGCCUUUACAACAGAUAUAUCUUCAGUAUAUAUCCCGAAGAAGUUUGUUUAGGCUCUGAUUGGCCUCCUUCUGACACACCUCUCAUUCUAGAUUGUUUAAUACUUAGAGUCCUUCCUUAAUGUUUAUAGGUCUUGUAUUGUUUUCUACAUCAAAAUGUCAAUUAAUAGUUUUGGUUACCUUUUCUUGAAUGCGAGUAACAUCAAUCUUUGGAUGGAAUGUGUUUGUGAGCUACUAUGAUCUUAUUGUUACAGAGUUAAAGUUGCGCUUUAAUGGUAAAACAUUUUGGCAAACUUUAACAUUAAAUUGCUUUGAUGAAUUUGAUCAUUCUUUAGUUUCUAACUUGGUGAUUGGUAAUGUAUUUCAUGUGAUAGAUGUCUUGGAUUGCAUCAUAAUUAAAACCUAGGUAUCCAGGCACCAAAGUGGUCUAAAUCAAACUCUCUCUAACUCAUCCUCACUUUCUCUCUGCUCUCAGACAAAGACGACGGUGACUUCAUUCUUCUGAUGACUGAUGCUCUUUGCAAGAGGUGCAGUGUGAGAAAAGUUAGUCUUGUAGAUAACUAGAUAUCAUACAAGCUGGUCAUGGUGAUCACUAUCAGGUACUUCAUAAGGUUGGGGCUGAAAGAGCUUGUGCUGCAGCAAUAACAUUGGACACUCCUGGACAUCUGGUGCAAAUUAUAGAACUGUGUGGGCUUUGAGCAAGCACAACCCUUGACCAAUGAUCUGCCACUGAAGCUUGACCAAUUUUACCCGGUGGACUUGUUUGGAAUAAGAAACUACAAUAAUUCAAUAUAUAGACAUUGGUUGCUUAUCUCUUAUUUACUUGGACUUUAUGGAACUCCAGUUCUGAGCUCUUUAUAUUAUAUUUUGUCCAUGAGAACAGCUGGGAUUGUUUUUUGUAUAAUAAUAUUUGGCAUUGAUUUCUAUGGAAGUUAAUUCUAUAUACAAGGAAUUAGGUUCUGAUUUUUUAAUAGAUAUCUUGAUUUGAACUUGAAUUCUUUCCACCAAAAAAUGCUAGAAUUAUAUCUUUUCCUGCAAUCAAAGUAUCAAAAUCUAUUUUAAGCAAUCUUAAAAAGGUUUAUAUGUCAUAUUGUUAGUAAGCUCAUAAGUUUUUCUCUUACCUUGUCUAGCCAUUGCUGGUUGUUAAAUUUAUGUUUUGUAUUUUAAUAGCUAAUCUAUUUGUGCUAUGCAGAAAUUGCCUCAGUAUCCAUUGCCAACUCUUGACCUUGUUCUGAGAGGUCUUAUUCUAACUGAUUUUGAGUUUUGAAAUUGAAACACUUUUCCCUAUUCAUCUGAUUCACACUAUAUAGUCUCGAAAGACUGACAAUUUGUCUGAUUUAUAUUGUAGAUAAAUACAGUUGCUUAUGAAAUACAAUUUGUGCAUAACUGUCAUUCCUUUAAACUCCCUCUCCCAAUAUUCUAUCAUCGACUACCAAGCAAAGGAGUUUCUUGCUGCUUUGAAUCUGGUUCUAAUAAAGGGAUAACAAAAUUUAUAUGGCUUUAAAGGAGAAAAAGCUCUUCUAUACAGCGGGGAUUGAUUUAAAGAUACAAAAUAGAAUUGAAUCGGAGUUGAGUGUUCAAAUUUCAAACUAAAGCUGUUAAUUGAUAUAGGAGCAUCUAUUUAUUUCUACUAUGUUAGUUAUUGUACGUUAAUUUUCGUUUUUUAAGUUUCAGCUUGUGAAUUUUAUAUAUGAUAAUAAAGCUCAUUUAGUUUGAACUUCUAUUGAAUCAUAUGUUUAGAUUUCUUCUCACCAAACCAAAAAAAAAAAAAAAAAUUAGUUUAUUAUUUCUUCAUUCGGAUUUUAUUAUUCUCUAUUUCAAUUUGUAUACAAAAUUUAUAUUGAUUUAUGUUUUCAAAGUAUGA
Chenopodium quinoa (quinoa) is the source of this 2712-nucleotide long non-coding RNA. RefSeq lists it as uncharacterized. The transcript has 5 exons. The record is from RefSeq and is a predicted model, not a curated record. Lineage: Eukaryota; Viridiplantae; Streptophyta; Magnoliopsida; Caryophyllales; Amaranthaceae.